UUUCCGGUUGAUCCCGCCGGAAGCCACUGCUAUCGGGGUCCGACUAAGCCAUGCGAGUCAUGGGGCUCCCUUCGGGGAGCACCGGCGCACGGCUCAGUAACACGUGGCUAACCUACCCUCGGGUGGGGGAUAACCUCGGGAAACUGAGGCUAAUCCCCCAUAGGGGAGGAGGUCUGGAAUGAUCCCUCCCCGAAAGGCGUAAGCCGCCCGAGGAUGGGGCUGCGGCGGAUUAGGUAGUUGGUGGGGUAAUGGCCCACCAAGCCUACGAUCCGUACGGGCCCUGAGAGGGGGAGCCCGGAGAUGGACACUGAGACACGGGUCCAGGCCCUACGGGGCGCAGCAGGCGCGAAACCUCCGCAAUGCGCGAAAGCGCGACGGGGGGACCCCGAGUGCCCACGCUCUGCGUGGGCUUUUCCGGAGUGUAAACAGCUCCGGGAGUAAGGGCUGGGCAAGUCCGGUGCCAGCAGCCGCGGUAAUACCGGCGGCCCAAGUGGUGGCCACUGUUAUUGGGCCUAAAGCGUCCGUAGCCGGCCCGGUAAGUCUCUGCUUAAAUCCUGCGGCUCAACCGCAGGGCUGGCAGAGAUACUGCCG
RNAcentral lists this ribosomal RNA (591 nucleotides) under uncultured archaeon. RNAcentral describes it as "bacterial SSU rRNA". It matches the Rfam family "Archaeal small subunit ribosomal RNA", at positions 1 to 589 of the family's 1478-position model. The record is from RNAcentral.